GGAGGUGUAGCUCAGUGACAGAGUUCUUGCCUAGAAUGUAUGAGACUUUGGGUUCCAUCCCCAGCACACCCG
Molecule: transfer RNA, 72 nt
Filed under: Marmota marmota marmota (Alpine marmot)
Lineage: Eukaryota; Metazoa; Chordata; Mammalia; Rodentia; Sciuridae
Also listed under: 1 other name
Rfam family: tRNA
About the family: Transfer RNA (tRNA) molecules are approximately 80 nucleotides in length. Their secondary structure includes four short double-helical elements and three loops (D, anti-codon, and T loops). Further hydrogen bonds mediate the characteristic L-shaped molecular structure. tRNAs have two regions of fundamental functional importance: the anti-codon, which is responsible for specific mRNA codon recognition, and the 3' end, to which the tRNAs corresponding amino acid is attached (by aminoacyl-tRNA synthetases). tRNAs cope with the degeneracy of the genetic code in two manners: having more than one tRNA (with a specific anti-codon) for a particular amino acid; and 'wobble' base-pairing, i.e. permitting non-standard base-pairing at the 3rd anti-codon position.
Source: Rfam by way of RNAcentral